Molecule: ribosomal RNA, 462 nt
Filed under: uncultured bacterium
Lineage: Bacteria
Description: partial 16S ribosomal RNA
Rfam family: Bacterial small subunit ribosomal RNA
Source: RNAcentral
GAUGAACGCUGACAGAAUGCUUAACACAUGCAAGUCUUUGGCGAAGCUGUGCUUGCACAGCCUAGCCAAGGCGGACGGGUGAGUAACGCGUAAGGAACUUGCCCUGCAGUCAGGGAUAACAGACGGAAACGACUGAUAAGACCUGGUAAAGUCAGGCGGACUCAUGUCCAGCCUGAUGAAAAGAGAUGCUGCAGGAGAGCCUUGCGUCCUAUUAGCUUGUUGGUGGGGUAACGGCCCACCAAGGCGAUGAUAGGUAGCCGGCCUGAGAGGGUGGACGGCCACAAGGGGAAUGAGAUACGGCCCUUACUACGACGGGAGGCAGCAGUGGGGAAUAUUGGACAAUGGGGGCAACCCUGAUCCAGCAAUUCUGUGUGCACGAUGAAGGUUUUCGGAUUGUAAAGUGCUUUCAGCAGGGAAGAAAAAAUGACGGUACCUGCAGAAGAAGCGACGGCUAAAUACGUG